ACAUUUAUUUAAUUAAUAAUUUUCUGUGUUAUCGUGUUUCUCAUUUAGACUAAUUACCUCGUUAUAAACCGAUCUCGUUAUAUCAGACAACAAUAAUAUUGUGCAUACUUAUGAAUAUUUAGUUUUCUAAGAUUUCUAUUAACUUCCUAGAGUGAAGCCAUUCGGAGCAAUAUUCGCUCCGUGUGUGGCCAUGGUGGGGAUACACGAAACUAUGCCAGCGCCCGUAGCGGCGAAAUAUGACAACUUUGGCGAAUAAUGAUUGAAUAAUAAUUUUUUCAAUAGAUAUUUCGCUUGCCUUAUUAUUGCCGUUUUGAUUUUUAUGUUUUAUAUUUGUAUUUUCAUACUGACUUUAUUUCCUUCCCCGAUCUGGUGGUAUAUUCCUAUCAUCAUCUAUUUCCAUUUUGUGUUACACACACCAUAAAAUUCGAUCCAGUUCAAUAGAUCCAGCUAAUGUUAAAAUCUGGUAAUAAUAAUUCACACUGGCUAAUUGCUUUCGAUGUACCGAAACACGAAUUAUUGUUAACAUCGACAACUAAACUAUAACGAAAAAGUGAAGAAAAACCCUUAAAAUUGAUAUUGUCUUCAGAGAACUUCCAUAUACAUAUAUCCGAUUUUUAAUUUGACGUUUAUUUGACACUCGAACUUAUUUAAAUUUUAUCAAAAAUUGUUUUUUUUAUGUAAUUAUGCUUAUUUACAAUCUACAUCAUUAAAAGAGUAUUAAGUAAAUUUGUUCCAUGUUUUUGGGCAUGAAGAAGAGACUUCCAAUGAUGUCUCUCUCAUCUUAUUCUAUUUAUGUUAAAGUUUUAAAAUAGGUCCUGAGGCCAGGGUCUAUCUAGUCUCCUUGUGACAGGGCCAUUAUGGAAUAAUUCCCUUACUAACUCAUUGUCAUGGUGAAUGGUACGCUCGUUUUGUGAUUCCGAGGCUCGAUGGAUUUCUUCUCUGAUGAAAGGUAUAUUUAAGUCUUCGUGAAGUGUUUGAUUAGUUACAUACCAUGGUGCAUCCACUAUUGAUCUUAGAACUUUAGACUGAAAUCUUUGGAUGAUAUUCAGUGAUGUUGACUUUGCACAGCCCCAGAGGUGUAGUCCGUAGUACCAAAUACAAGAAUCUACAGGUCGAGCAAGUCUCGUAAAUUUCACGAUUGCGAGCCACGCUUCACGCAACCGUGUUUGCGUACUUGUGUUUCAAGUUGCGUGGUCGUACGGAGUUAUAUUUACCAAAUUUAAAUAUAAUCGUUUUCAAAAUUAAAUCAAUAUGUCAAUAUGGCUACUGGGUGUAAAAGAUAAAUCUUAUUCUAUCUGUUCUUAAUGAGUUUUAGAUAAUUUUAGUUGUAUUUCUUUGUAAUUUUGUGUUGUACAAAGAUUAAUUUAACAUUUUCUCUGGAAGUAUUAAUUUAGAAAGAUAAUAUGCUUCAUUGGUGUUGUGUUUUGAAGUGUGAAAUGUGAUAAAGUCAAGAUUAAAGUUCACUUUUAAACUGAACUAAAUAAGGUAUCUGAGAGACAACAAUGGUUAAAUGCAAUACAAUGUACAGGUUUUACUAGCGAAAUGAAAAUUUUCCUGUCCUGUCUGCUGUAAUCAUUUUAUAUCUGGAAAACCAGCCGACUUAAUAGAUAAUAACAAUCUCCAGAUUGGGUUCCUUCAAUAAAUAUGGUCUAUAAACACAAUGAAAUAAGUUCCCCAAAAUCUAAAAUGGAGUGGUAUCAAAGGAGAAUUAAAGAGAAAAAUAUUCAUAUUGAAAUUAUUUAUAAGGCACUGGACUGUCUUAAAUUCUACAAUAAUACUAGAAUCAGCUGAGAGAAGUGGUCUACAAAAAAACCAGGAAGGAAACGGAAUAUGUGGCUACGAAAGGCAAAAGAAAGGUUUACAAAGCAAAUGUGACACAUUUUUUUGAAAUAUUUAGGAAUAUCAGUAAAUUGCAUUAAAAAAAUGUAUGAAAAGAUUUUGUUCAAUAAAAAUGUUUAUAUUUA
Diabrotica virgifera virgifera (western corn rootworm) is the source of this 1964-nucleotide long non-coding RNA. RefSeq lists it as uncharacterized. Lineage: Eukaryota; Metazoa; Arthropoda; Insecta; Coleoptera; Chrysomelidae. The transcript is spliced from 3 exons. The record is from RefSeq and is a predicted model, not a curated record.